Molecule: long non-coding RNA, 1373 nt
Organism: Vidua chalybeata
Lineage: Eukaryota; Metazoa; Chordata; Aves; Passeriformes; Viduidae
Exons: 3
Source: RefSeq, a predicted model, not a curated record
UUUACCUAAAAACAGGUGGAACCCAGACCACAGUAGAUGUGAGCUCCACUUGGUUCCAGACCAUUACAUCAGCAGUGGACUUAAUCCACAGAAAACAUCUAAGGGUUAAAUGACUUAUCAACAAGUUUGAUUUGUGAAAUGCUAAAAACGAAGCUGGCUAAAGGAGCACCUCCACUGUUAUGAUUUCUGCUGGCCAAAGUUCCUGGCCUAACUCUCCUGUAACAGGCACAUCAUACAAGAUUGUUUCACCAGGACUUGUGAGCUGCUGAACUGGAGUUGUCCUCUGCACUACUGGUGACACUUGCACCAAACUGCUUCAAUAUCAGCUCAGUAUCACAUCACUUCCUACGUUUUCAUAAAUGUUUCCACUUCUGAUUUGGUCAUUUAUAGCAGAUGCCAUCUCAUGUCAUUUAUGCAAUGGCCAAAGCAUAAGGUAUAUCCUGGGUAUUAGUGGUGGGAAGCACUAGACCACAGCCUUUGCUUCCCUGCCCAGCCUGGCUCUGUGACAUACUCUGGGCUGUGCCUCCUCUCCCUAUGUAAGAUGGGAUAGUAAUGGGUGGAUUAAAAAGCUAUCGGAGUCUUAACAGCUUGGCAUCACCUGCCAUUCAAUUCCCAUGAUUAAUGAGAGAGAAGUGAGUCAGAAAUGCAGAGCAGAGGCUGUGGAGGUCCCCUGGAAUCACACCAGAUGCACCAGUGUUCUUCUGCUGCAGUUGCCUUGUGUGGGGUCAGUUCUGAGAGGCAGCAGGCAGGCAGCUGAGGGAAGGGCUCUUGCAUGAGAGGAUGAGGCUGGGUGAAGUAUCCAGAGCAACUGUGGGAGAUAUUUUCUGUGUACAACCCUGAGAAUAUUUUCUGUAUGGCUUUGUCACUUAUAUGGUUAGUCAGUCCUGUCCCAGCUUUUUGCAAAAAAAAGAAAAGUGAAGAGAAAAGAAAAAAAAAACCUCCUUGUUUUUAAUGGUAACAUUUAAAAAUAUAAAACCCUCCUCAGUGGCCAAACCACAGAAAUUGCCAUGCAGAUCCGAGAGCAGGUGUGCUUCCUGGAGCUACUGGAACAGCAUCAGAAACCUGCUAGUUCCCCAGUAAAAAGUGUCCUCUUAAUUCUGGGUGAAAUUCUCCUCCAAAUGUGGUUGAGAGCAAAACUCCUAUUUACUUUAAUGCUUGCUGCCUUUCAUCUGUUUUUGCAAUAACUGGGAUCAGACCUGAGAAGUGCACACAACUAGUGUCUGUUAGGGCAGAAGGAAGCCAGUGAUGCUGGGAGAGGUUUAGGAAUGAGCUGUUUGGUAUGUCCACAUUCUUGGGAUGAGACCUUUCAUGAAUGUAACACAGCAAAGAAUAUUCCUGGUCUUUCACCAGUAAACUGAAGUUAUGGCCUUCCA